CAGGACGAACGCUGGCGGCGUGCCUAAUACAUGCAAGUCGAGCGAAUGAUUAGAGAAGCUUGCUUCUCUCUGAUUUAGCGGCGGACGGGUGAGUAACACGUGGGUAACCUACCCUAUAGACUGGGAUAACUUCGGGAAACCGGAGCUAAUACCGGAUAAUACUUCGAAACACAUGUUUUGAAGUUGAAAGAUGGUUUCGGCUAUCACUAUAGGAUGGACCCGCGGCGCAUUAGCUAGUUGGUGAGGUAACGGCUCACCAAGGCAACGAUGCGUAGCCGACCUGAGAGGGUGAUCGGCCACACUGGGACUGAGACACGGCCCUGACUCCUACGGGAGGCAGCAGUAGGGAAUCUUCCACAAUGGACGAAAGUCUGAUGGAGCAACGCCGCGUGAAGUGAAGAAGGAUUUCGGUUCGUAAAACUCUGUUGCAAGGGAAGAACAAGUAGCGUAGUAACUGGCGCUACCUUGACGGUACCUUGUUAGAAAGCCACGGCUAACUACGUGCCAGCAGCUGC
RNAcentral lists this ribosomal RNA (515 nucleotides) under uncultured bacterium. Its description in RNAcentral is "bacterial SSU rRNA". It matches the Rfam family "Bacterial small subunit ribosomal RNA", at positions 25 to 518 of the family's 1533-position model. The record is from RNAcentral.